CAAUAGCGUAUAUUUAAGUUGCUGCAGUUAAAAAGCUCGUAGUUGGAUUUCGGGUGGGAAUGGCCGGUCCGCCGUUUCGGUGUGCACUUGCUACGCCCACCUUGCUGCCGGGGACGUGCUCUUGAGUUCACGCUCGGGACACGGAGUCGGCGAGGUUACUUUGAGUAAAUUAGAGUGUUCAAAGCAGGCCUACGCUCUGAAUACAUUAGCAUGGAAUAACACGAUAGGACUCUGGCCUAUCUUGUUGGUCUGUAGGACCGGAGUAAUGAUUAAGAGGGACAGUCGGGGGCAUCAGUAUUCAAUUGUCAGAGGUGAAAUUCUUGGAUUUAUUGAAGACUAACUACUGCGAAAGCAUUUGCCAAGGAUGUUUUCAUUAA
RNAcentral lists this ribosomal RNA (377 nucleotides) under uncultured eukaryote. Its description in RNAcentral is "partial 18S ribosomal RNA". It matches the Rfam family "Eukaryotic small subunit ribosomal RNA", at positions 592 to 976 of the family's 1831-position model. The record is from RNAcentral.